RNAcentral lists this long non-coding RNA (1363 nucleotides) under Populus trichocarpa (black cottonwood). RNAcentral describes it as "long non-coding RNA (PTRI_LNC001382)". Lineage: Eukaryota; Viridiplantae; Streptophyta; Magnoliopsida; Malpighiales; Salicaceae. The record is from RNAcentral.
GUGUGUUGAAUGCUUUAGGGACAAAUAUUCCAUCUGCAAUCUCUUUCAUCUGCUUGAAGCAGCUUAAUUACUCAACCUGCAAAAGUAUCACGGUAAUCGUAUAAGAGCUGGAGAACAGGACAAAAGAAAUGAGAGGCAAAACAUUAGAGCAGGCAAGGCAGUCUUAACAAAAUAUAUGAAGUCUCUAGAACAAGGUCAAACAGAUCUAAACUCUCUGAAGUAUCGAAACAUAUUGCUUAGUCUAGUUUACUCUUCCUUUCCAUCUUCAAAAUGCUUAAUGGAAGGGAUGCUGCCUCUACUGUGCAAUCCAUGCAUGGAAUCUGGUUCGUGAUGGUUGAUUGGCAAUGAUAUGAAGACUAGGGUUUGGGAGCAUAGAUGGUUGCCUAUGAAAUCAUAAGGUGGAAGGGUAUUGUUGAUAGAUGCAGCUAUGCAUCAAUGAAGGUAAAUCAGAAAAAGAAAAGGCCACCUUGUGUAGGAGUUUAUAAACACAGAUGCAGAAAUUCACAGUUCAAGCAAGGUGAGGGGUCUGAACUGAUCAUCUGCAAUUUAGCUCUUGAUGAAAUUUCAUCCCAUUAUCAAAAAAGAAUUCUUAUAGUGAUUUCCUAGGAACAGUUACGCCUUUUCUACACAAAAAUUAAAAAGAAAGACUGAAAAAAACAAAGCAACAAGUCAAGCUAUAUGAAUGACCUAGUCUAACUUGUGGCUCCUAAUGGUCUUCACAAUGCUUAAUGGAGGGAUGUUGCCUCUAUUGCGCUGGAAGUCACAACCAAGACUGGUUGAACUAUUUGCAUAUGUUGCGAUUAAUCUCAAAUCUUUCAGCUGUUCUUCAAAUCUCAGAAGACUCUUAAAUGAAUCAUCUUCCAAAUCGUUGAUGUAUAAUUCCUCAUUGUCGACUGCUAUUAUAAUUUCACCUUCCUUUGUAAAUGCCAAUGGGUUCCUGCAGUAUCCAUUCAUACGGAUGCUACAUAAUUGCGUCCAGGAUUCUUUCACUCCAUAUUGCUUCAUUUCUGCCACCGUACAAAUGAACUCAAGCAAUAACAAUAAGCACAAAGAUUCCCUCUCAAGGAAGCCAAACUAAAAGGAUGACCAACAAGAUCUUCAGGAGGUUUUGGUGUUGGGGAUUCCGGCUCCCCCAUGCGCGGACCGGGGGUGUACUGAUAUUUUUCUAUUGGAGGCUUAAGCACACUGACACAAUAUUUUACGUGGUUCGGCAAAACCGCCUACAUCCACGGGAGAGUCCAUAUUAUUAGAGAUAUAUAGAGAAAGGAUUACAACAUACAUGAAGAUGGAAGCCUUAAAACAUUGCAGCUCUCUCUUUCUCUCCACUCUCUUGCACACACUCACGUUUUCUCACUCUCUCAAC